Culex pipiens pallens (northern house mosquito) is the source of this 7626-nucleotide long non-coding RNA. RefSeq lists it as uncharacterized. The transcript is spliced from 3 exons. The record is from RefSeq and is a predicted model, not a curated record. NCBI's taxonomy places the organism in Eukaryota, Metazoa, Arthropoda, Insecta, Diptera, Culicidae.
CGACGGUAUUAAAAUACCUAGACAAAAAUAAAUGCUUAAAAUUAUUGAAAUUCUCAACAAAAUUUAAACACUUUGAAUAUUAAUUUAACACUUUGACUUUUUUGGGGCUACCCCCUGAAAUCAAAGAUUGACCCAUCACUAGGCUAAAUUCCACGGGAACCCCUCCCUCCAAUCGCUUAAAGUUUGUAUGGGAAAAAUCGUCAAAAUGUAUGGAGAAAAGCAACUGUUUUACUUUUUUACCUGUGGAAGGCGCCAUAAUUAUUCGACUCUUACCAUUUCUCAAAUGUAGAACCUUCAUUAAAUUUAGAACAACUUUCCCGAAGACACCAUAUUUUUAGGAUUUCUUCCCGCGAAGUUAUUAGCUCCCAAAACUGACCCUUUUUGCGCGGCCAGCUGUAAGCGGCUACCUAACAACGAUGUUUAUUUCCAAUUCGUACACGCACGUGCUCUCUCUCAGGUUCAAACUCUCUCACGAGCUUGCUCGCCUGCCUGCCUACCUGUUUACCUACAAGCGCGCGCUGAUUCUCUGCAUGGACUUUUGUCGUCGUUGUCGUUUUCGUUUGCUAUCCGCUGCGCUGCGUUCUUGACAUGUUUAUUAUAAUUUUCAACUAAAAUACUAGGUUUGUUUUGUUAAGAUAUAAAAUGUAAUGUAAUAUGUGAUCAACAGUAGAUAUCAUAUUGUAAGACCGUGUGAGAGAGAAUACAAAUUUGAUGAAUUAGUUCAUCCAUGAAUCGUCAUCUGUUCUGAUCCAAACCUAAUUGCAAACGUUUUGGAUUUUAAUUUAUCUGCUUUUGUUACAAGAAAUACCAUGCAGUUUUCUUAGAUAAAAAAGGAAGACAUUUUCUUUGGAUUUUUUAAAAAACUGAAUCCAAAGUCCUAGGAUGGCCAAAGACAUCCCAACACAUUAACAAAGCAGUCUACCAUACUGACUAAAGCUAUGCGGGUAUGUUCCGUUGUCAAAACCGGUAGACAUUUUGCUUGUUACGGUAGUAGACCCACAGAUCUUAACUCCAGGAAGUCCUUGGAUGACCCAGGACAUACUAACACAUUAGCAAAGUAGUCUACCACACUCACUGAAGCUAUGCGGGUAUGAUCAGCGGCCAAAAACCGCCGACAUCUUGCUUGUUACGGCGGUAGACUCACCGGUCUUAACGCCAAGGAGUUCUCGGAUGACUCAGACCAUCCUAAUAAGUUGUUACAACAUUGGACUGAAGCCUUCCAUACUCACUGAAGCAGUCUAGGUCGGAUCCGGUUUCAAAACCUUGAAGUUUCGACUUGUUUCUAUGGGAUGCCUCUUGCACAAACGGUUCAAACGGUUAAAAACAAGAGAAAUCAUGUUUCAAUCAUGCUAAGACAUAUCAGAAUUUAUAGUUUUUGCUGAUACGCGUCGAAUGAAGUCAAGAAAAUCGAAAUCCAUAAUGAAACAGAGAUUUUAUAAAUGAUUUUAGAAAUAGCAAAAAUACGAUUUUUUUGUACAUUUUAACCCAAAAUACUCAAACUUCAACAGCAUGUAACUUUUGAACCCCGGGGUUUAGAGAGUUGGUCCAGAAGACUUUUUCUCAUGUCUCGGCGAGAUCUUUCGAAAAAAGUUGGUCCCGUUCGUGUACAUUCUUGGACCAGCUUCCAUACAAAUUUGCCCAUUCUCCUUUCCAUAAAGAACAAAAAAAUCAUUUUAGAGAGAAUGAAUGAAAAUUUGCAGCAAUAAUUGUAAAAUUGCCUUGAUUUGUUCUGAUUUGUACUAAAGUAUAUUUUUGUUAAAACAAACUACCUAAAGAAACAACAUUUGUAUUACCUGAAGUUUUUUUUUUAAAUAAUUGAAUCAUUAUCGUGUUUCUUUAGCAUAUACGAAAAACUGCGUUUAAUGCUUGGAAAAACAAACAAACCCUGUUCUCAUGACAUUUGCUGUAACUUUUUAAGUGAGCCUAAGCUGUCUUUUAUUCAAAUUAUUUUUUUUCAGCGCAGUUUUUUUAUGUUUGACAUAAUUUAAGAAUUUAUAUGCUAAGUAUAUCUCAAAACAAUCCUGCUAUUUUAGUUGAAAAUUAUAAUAAACAUGCCAGAAACGCAGCGCAGAGGAUAUCGAUUGGUCGAAAGGACGACAAACGUGCGACAAACACUCGACAUGCUCGACAUUGUUUUUUCCAUCGAUUCACCUUCAAUUCGACGUCGAUUAUCGUCGACGCAAACAGUUUGACAGUUCUCUUCAGUUGAUCUUGUUCGGACUUGAUCAAAUCAGAAAAACAAUAUUGUUGUAAAGGUUCGUGAGGAUCAUGGCUUUCUACCUAAGGUACUCGCGAUUGAGUGUGUAGUAGUGCGGUUGUCAAAAUCGUUAUCUCGGACUCUCUCACUCCACUGACACUGACAUUGUUUAUGUUUUGGUUUUCCUGGCACGGUCCAUUGUUCGUUUGUUAUUGUUUUGGUUUUAGUGGCACGGAGUCAUGCACUCACACUAAUGCAAAGCAAGAUCGCGAGUACCUAUGAUAUACAGCCUUGCGUGAGGAUUUUGGCUGGUUGAUUGGUAAGUUGUGUUCUUUUUUUUGCUGGAAAGUUCCGGCCGGAGUGGGCGAGCGGCUAAAUCAUAACAUUAUGUUCCAGACUUCCUGAUUUCAGCCUUCGCGACGGUGGAAGAGAACGUGAAACAUCGUUAACCCGGCGGAUCAUGCCGGAAGAUGGGACGGGAAGGAACCGGUCUGCGAUCGAAAGCGGAUUGGGAUCUGUAUCAAACAGUCUCCAAACAGGACAAUGAAAGUGUUGAUGGUGUUUGAUUUUUAGAGAAUGUCAAAAUCGCCAUUAUCAAUACUAAGACCUGGAAAAAAAGAACAAACUUGCGGCCGAGUACAACCUCUGAGUGAAAGCGAUGGAGGUGAACGAACUACUCACGGGGCAGCACACGAAUUCUACCGGAUUGGCCAUCAUCAAGCGAAAUUUGGAAAAUUGUGACUGCAGUGAUAGUGAAUAUUUGGAAAACAAAGUGCCAGGCCAGUGAAAACUAAUAAAUAUCAAUAAAAAUCAGCAAAACAACAAAUAAAAUGAAUUUUAUUUCGAAAAUAACCUAAAAAUUCCGAAAUGACAGCACACGACAAUAGCACGACAUCCUAAAUAACAAAACCGUGCGACGUCGGUCGAAUGUCGUACGACAAUGUCGAACAAUUUCGAUGAUCGAUCGCACGACAAAUACGACAUUUUGGUGCAAAAACGUAUGACAUUCGUGCGAAUGUCGCACGACAUUGUCGUGCGACGUCGUACGAUUGCACGUACGACAAACGACGGACGUCGGACGGACUUUUCAGUCAGGGAGCUCGUGAGAGAGUUUGAACCUGAUGGUACGUUCGUUUGAGGGCUAGUUCCGCACUGAGUGCCGCAUUCAGAGCUGUCAAAGUGUUUGUUUGAAGAAACUCGCGCUAGUUCGCACGAGUUUUGCCGCCAUCUUGGAACUGAACCUCUAGUGCCGCACUCGAUUUUUUUUCAGUUUCAUGCGAGUUCCAUGCACACUGAAAAAGAAUGUUCGUUUGAACCAAAACUGGCACCGACGAGUGUGGCACUCAGUGCCGCACUGGCUGUUCAAACGAACGUACCAUGAGAGAAAGCACGUGCGUGUACGAAUUGGAAAUAAACAUCGUUGUUAGGUUGCCUUUUACAGCUGGCCGCGCAAAAAAGGUCAGUUUUGGGCGCUAAUAACUUCGCGGGAAAAAAUCCUAAAAAUAUGGUGUCUUGGGGAAAGUUGUUCUAAAUUUAAUGAAGGUUCUACAUUUGAGAAAUGGUAACUAUCGGAUAAUUAUGGCGCCUUCCACAGGUAAAAAAGUAAAACAGCCCAAGUAGCACUCAUAACUUGUCGUCUGUUGAAUAAUAGUUAGACAGCUGUUUUUGAUCAACAUACAAGACAAAAUUUCAACGUUAGUUAAAUAACAGCUUGUUUCACUACUUGUAUAACUGACUUAUGUAACUCAUGAGAUUUGUGCCACACAAGUGUUAAAACACAGUCUACUUCACUCUUUUCCAACUUAAACACACAACAUAGGGAAUAUUUUCACAUUUUUGGGAGGGUACACACUCAGAAUGAAGAUUCGACUUCGGCAGAAAUAUCUGCCGAACGUGCUCGGCAAAGUGAUAUUCUGCCGAAAUCUCGGCAGAAAAUUCAUUGUUCCAAUAUUCUCGGUUAAAUUUAACCGAUAGUUCGGGAGAUCUAAGCAAAAUGCCGAAGUUCGUCAGUUAAAUUUAACGAAAAUCUCGGCAUGUCCAAAAUCUACCGAGUUCGGCAAUUCAACUGUCAAAUUUGCUAGAAAGUGCCGAGCUGUUCGGUUAGAUGUUGAGGUAGCCAUAUUUGUUUUCGAUAUGAGUAGUGCUCACUGAACUAAGUUCCGGAACUUUGGAUAAAUCGGGAUUUAUACUUGAAUUUCUACAGGAUUUCUGCUUGGAUUUCUACUUGAAAGGUAAACAUUUUUAAUAACAUCUGUUAGGAAAAAUAAUAUCUAAAGGGUCUUUCAUUUGCAGCUUUCACCAAGGAAAUGCAUGACGAUAAAUUGAAUUGAAUUGUUUAUUGACCCAUCGGACCUAAAUGGUCUAAAUGGUUGGGUAUUGCUCGAUGCUUUUACAAAUAAAAUAAAUUACAAUUACAGGUAGCACAAUACAAACAUAAUUUACAACGCGUUAAAAAAUUGUCAUUUUAGAUUCUACUUAACCGAAUUCGUGUCCUCUACUUGAACUCGGCGCGCAGCUUUUCGCGGAACUUGCUCACGGGUUCGUGAAAUUCGAAAAACCUGUAGGCGUCGUUAAAAGCGUCAGAAAUGGACCUCACGGGAGAGUUGCGCUGAUAGUCUGUCCUUGCGAACGAGCGUGCGAGAAGCCCCUGGUCAGCUCGAGGACGCAGAUUUCUGGAAGAAAUAUUUGUAUUUAGUAGGGAUAAGAGAUGUGGGCAAUCAAUUUCAGCGGUCAGGAUCUUAGCAGCGAAGACAGCUUUCGCAAUGGUUCGUCGCGUCUCCAGUGUUUCGAUGCCAAGCAGGUUGCGGCGUGCUUCGUAGCUCGGCAGUCGUGUAGGGUCGUUCCAUUUUUCUGCAGGCGUACCACACGAACUUCUUCUGGAUUCUCUCGAUACGGUCAAUCCAGUUUUGAUGAUAAGGAGACCAGAUUACGGACGAAUAUUCCAAAUGGGACCUGACCAAGGCAAAGUACAACGACCGAAGGCAGAGCGGGUCAUCGAAGUCACGCGCCAUUCUGAACAGAAACCCGAGCUGUCUAUAAGCCUUGUCUACUAUUGCUGAUAGAUGCUGCCGGAAGGUAAGCUUUUCGUCAAGUAGGACCCCAAGGUCUUUCACGACUUCGAGCCGCUCGAGCACGUGCCCACCUAGCGAGUAAUCAAACGAAAACACCUCGCGCCUUGUUUUCCGGUGAAAGGAAAUAGUUGUGCACUUCUGCACGCUGAGUUCCAAGCGGUUCACGUCACACCAGUUAGAGAACUUGUCGAGGCGAGACUGAAGACCGUACCAAUCAGCGAGGUUGUCGAUGGCCAAGAAAAUUUUGAAGUCGUCAGCAUACAGGAGCUUGCAUUUGUCGACUAAGAGCAUCUCCACCGGUGCGCACAUAAAUGAGUGACUAUUUUGUUCACCCACAGCGCUACUAUUUUAGUUUAGUCACCCUUCCCACACCGGUCGUUGAUAAAACGGGUUGGUAAAAUAGUCACUGCCAACCCCACCGGGGGUGAGUAUCAGCUUAUUUUGACGAUUCGAAAUAAAAUUUGUUUUAAUUUAUUGGCAUGACCAAUUUGCCAAAAUCUUCAAAGCCAAAAGUAAUUAUUUCCAAAAAAAACUGGAUUGGUAGUAACCUGGAUUGGUCCGGGUUCCCCGGGGAAUGUUCCGUUGGAGGGACAUUGGCAGCACCGUAUGAAUAUGGGCAAUAUUGGUGUCAAACUUCUCGAUUCUCAAAAUCACAUAUGAAAAUUACGAAAACUGACAUUUUAAACGUACUGGCCGGAACCCGGAUGGUUCCGGGUUUCCCGGGGGAUGUUCCGUUGGAGGGACAUUGGCGACUCCUAUGAAUAUGGGCAAUAUUGGUGUUAAAUUUCACGAUUUGCAAUAUCACAUAUGAAAAUUAUGAAAAUGGACUUUUCUAGUGGACCCGGAUGGUUCAGGGUUCCCCGAGGAAUGUUCAGGGUUCCCCGAGGAAUGUUCCGUUAGAAAGGACAUUGGCCGCACCGUAUCAAUAUGGCCAAUAUUGGUGUCAAACUUCACAAUUUUCAAAAUCACAUGUGAAAAUUACGAAAACUGACAUUUUAAACGGACUGCCCGGAACCCGGAUGGUUCCGGGUUUCCCGGGGGAUGUUCCGUUGGAGAGACAUUGGCGGCUCCUAUGAAUAUGGGCAAUAUUGGUGUUAAAUUUCACGAUUUGCAAUAUUACAUAUGAAAAUUAUUAAAAUUGACAUUUCUAGUGGACCCGGAUGGUUCAGGAUUCCCCGAGGAAUGUUCCGGGUUCCCCGAGGGAUGUUCCGUUGGAAGGACAUUGGCCGCACCGUAUCUAUAUGGCCAAUAUUGGUGUCAAACUUCUCGAUUCUCAAAAUCACAUAUGAAAAUUACGAAAACUGACAUUUUAAACGGACUGGCCGGAACCCGGAUGGUUCCGGGUUUCCCGGGGGAUGUUCCGUUGGAGAGACAUUGGCGGCUCCUAUGAAUAUGGCAAUAUUGGUGUUAAAUUUCACGAUUUGCAAUAUUACAUAUGAAAAUUAUUAAAAUUGACAUUUCUAGUGGACCCGGAUGGUUCAGGGUUCCCCGAGGAAUGUUCCGGGUUCCCCGAGGGAUGUUCCGUUGGAAGGACAUUGGCCGCACCGUAUCUAUAUGGCCAAUAUUGGUGUCAAACUUCACAAUUUUCAAAAUCACAUGUGAAAAUUACGAAAACUGACAUUUUAAACGGACUGGCCGGAACCCGGAUGGUUCCGGGUUCCCCGGAAUAUGUUCCGUUGGAGGGACAUUGGCGGCUACGAUGAAUAUGGGCAAUAUUGGUGUUAAAUUUCACGAUUUUCAAAAUCGCAUAUCGAAAUCACGAAAAUUGACAUUGUGAGUGGACUGGCCACAAUCCGAAUUGGUCCGGGUUCCCUCGGGGAUGUUCCGUUGAGCGGACAUUGGCGGCACCGUAUGAAUAUGGGCAAUAUUGGUGUCAAAAUUCACGAUUUUCAAUAUCACAGAUAAAAAUUACGAAAAUGAAAAUUUUAAACGGACUGGCCACAACCCGAAUCGGAUGUUCCGUUGAGGAGACAUUGGCGGCACCGUAUAAUAUGGGCAAUAUUGGUGUCAAACUUCACGAUUUUCAAAAUCACAUGUGAAAAUUACGAAAAUGGACAUUUUCAACGAACUGGCCACAACCCGGAUGGUUCCGGGUUCCCCGAGGAAUGUUCCGUUGGAAGGUUAUUGGCCGCACCGUAUGAAUAUGGGUAAUAUUGGUGUCAAACUUUACAAUUUUCAAUAUCACAUGUGAAAAUUACGAAAAUGAACUUUUUGAGUGAACUGGCCACAACCCAGGUAGUUCCGAGUUACCCGGGGGAAGUUAUAUAUAAUGGUGUCAAACUUCACGGUUUUCAAAAUCACCUAUCGAAAUUACGAAAAUGAACAUAUAAAGUUUAUUCGUUGUUUCGUUGAAGGGAC